AUUGAACGCUGGCGGAAUGCUUUACACAUGCAAGUCGAACGGCAGCACGGGGCAACCUGGGUGGCGAGUGGCGAACGGGUGAGUAAUAUAUCGGAACGUGCCCAAUCGUGGGGGAGUAACGUAGCGAAAGUUACGCUAAUACCGCAUACGAUCUACGGAUGAAAGCGGGGGAUCGCAAGACCUCGCGCGAAUGGAGCGGCCGAUAUCAGAUUAGGUAGUUGGUGGGGGUAAAGGCUCACCAAGCCAACGAUCUGUAGCUGGUCUGAGAGGACGACCAGCCACACUGGAACUGAGACACGGUCCAGACUCCUACGGGAGGCAGCAGUGGGGAAUUUUGGACAA
Molecule: ribosomal RNA, 342 nt
Filed under: uncultured bacterium
Lineage: Bacteria
Description: bacterial SSU rRNA
Rfam family: Bacterial small subunit ribosomal RNA
Source: RNAcentral